UUAAGUCCCGCAACGAGCGCAACCCUCGCCUUUAGUUACCAUCAUUUGGUUGGGUACUCUAAAGGAACCGCCGGUGAUAAGCCGGAGGAAGGUGGGGAUGACGUCAAGUCCUCAUGGCCCUUACGCGCUGGGCUACACACGUGCUACAAUGGCGGUGACAGUGGGCAGCAAUCCCGCGAGGGUGAGCUAAUCUCCAAAAGCCGUCUCAGUUCGGAUUGUUCUCUGCAACUCGAGAGCAUGAAGGCGGAAUCGCUAGUAAUCGCGGAUCAGCAUGCCGCGGUGAAUACGUUCCCAGGCCUU
Molecule: ribosomal RNA, 300 nt
Filed under: uncultured bacterium
Lineage: Bacteria
Description: bacterial SSU rRNA
Rfam family: Bacterial small subunit ribosomal RNA
Source: RNAcentral